ACGUAGGGGGCGAGCGUUGUCCGGAUUUAUUGGGCGUAAAGGGCGUGUAAGCGGUCUGCUAAGUCAGAGGUGAAAAUCCAGGGCUCAACCCUGGAACUGCCUCUGAAACUGGUGGACUUGAGUGCUGUAGGGGCGGGCGGAAUUCCGGGUGUAGCGGUGGAAUGCGUAGAGAUCCGGAGGACAACCGGUGGCGAAGGCGGCCUGCUGGGCAGUUACUGACACUGAGGCGCGACAGCGUGGGGAGCAAACAGGA
This 253-nucleotide ribosomal RNA is filed under the name uncultured prokaryote. Its description in RNAcentral is "partial 16S ribosomal RNA". It matches the Rfam family "Bacterial small subunit ribosomal RNA", at positions 525 to 777 of the family's 1533-position model. The record is from RNAcentral.